Homarus americanus (American lobster) is the source of this 865-nucleotide long non-coding RNA. RefSeq lists it as uncharacterized. The transcript has 2 exons. Lineage: Eukaryota; Metazoa; Arthropoda; Malacostraca; Decapoda; Nephropidae. The record is from RefSeq and is a predicted model, not a curated record.
GGGUAAAUAAAAUAAUAAGUCAUGCCAAAUAUGAAACAAAGAAAAGCGAGAGACGAUGAAAUUUAAAUAUAUACCAACAUACUACAAUAUGCAAUUUCGAUCCCUAUACUUUCCUCGCCAUUUCUACCACCCUCCUCACUAGAAUCCCAAAAUGGGGUUCUCUUGACCUUAGUAAUAAGAAAAGUCCUCCACUAGACGUUUUUUUUGUACAGUUAAAAUAUAAAAGCUCGUUAUACAGGUCAGACGAAUGUACAUCGUGUUCUGUGAGUGAAAGUUUCCUCCCAACAGGCUGGUGAACAAUGAAUACCAAGAGCAUCGUAUUCCUGCUGGUGCUGGUGAUCUUGGCCGUUUCAGUUGUCAAUGGAAGCAGAGAUAGACGCUGCUCACAACUCGGCGGGAUCUGUUUAAGUGAUUGUAAUUACGUAAAUACAGUACAUGGCGGAUUAUGCUUCGGCAGUGAUGUCUGUUGCCGGUUAAUACAGACUUACGGCUAGUCCACAACGGCAGCCAGACCUGACGGACGCCACCAUGACCUAUGCGACAAAAACACCCUCAAAUGUUUUUGGCGAUCAUCGACGAAACUUCUGUUUUGACAUGCAACUAGAAAACAUGCUUUGCUUGUGAAAUGUUUUUUUGAGGUUAUUUGAAUUCUGCCACAAUCUUUAUUUUCUUGAUUAUGCACAUUUUAAGUAAUGAUGAAGAAUAUUAGUAAAAUCUAAUUUAACUUGAGACUUGUGUCAUUAGCAUGUACAUCUGGCAUCUGCCUACUCUUGAAGUGUAUUGUCUUGUUUAUUUCCUUAUCUAGAUAUAUUAAUAAUGUUUAUCUUUGUGUUCAGAGCUUGAUAAUAAACUUGCUAUGCUAUAA